CGGGGCGUGGCGCAGCUUGGAAGCGCGCUUGACUGGGGGUCAAGAGGUCGCAGGUUCAAAUCCUGUCGCUCCGACCA
RNAcentral lists this transfer RNA (77 nucleotides) under Bacillota bacterium. RNAcentral describes it as "Firmicutes bacterium (anaerobic digester metagenome) tRNA-Pro". It matches the Rfam family "tRNA". From Rfam's summary of the family: Transfer RNA (tRNA) molecules are approximately 80 nucleotides in length. Their secondary structure includes four short double-helical elements and three loops (D, anti-codon, and T loops). Further hydrogen bonds mediate the characteristic L-shaped molecular structure. tRNAs have two regions of fundamental functional importance: the anti-codon, which is responsible for specific mRNA codon recognition, and the 3' end, to which the tRNAs corresponding amino acid is attached (by aminoacyl-tRNA synthetases). tRNAs cope with the degeneracy of the genetic code in two manners: having more than one tRNA (with a specific anti-codon) for a particular amino acid; and 'wobble' base-pairing, i.e. permitting non-standard base-pairing at the 3rd anti-codon position. Lineage: Bacteria; Bacillati; Bacillota. The record is from RNAcentral.